RNAcentral lists this ribosomal RNA (418 nucleotides) under uncultured bacterium. RNAcentral's name for it is "bacterial SSU rRNA". It matches the Rfam family "Bacterial small subunit ribosomal RNA", at positions 29 to 415 of the family's 1533-position model. The record is from RNAcentral.
AACGAACGUUAGCGGCGCGCCUAACACAUGCAAGUCGAGCGAGAAAGGGCUUCGGCCCCGGUAAAGCGGCGCACGGGUGAGUAACACGUGGAUAACCUACCCCUUGGUGGUGGAUAACCUUCCGAAAGGAGGGCUAAUACAGCGUAAGACCACGACUUCGAAAGGGGUUGAGGUCAAAGCUGGCCUCUAUACAUAAGCUAGCACCUGAGGAUGAGCCCGCGGAGCAUCAGCUAGUUGGUGAGGUAAAUGGCUCACCAAGGCUAAGACGCUUAGCUGGUCUGAGAGGAUGAUCAGCCACACUGGAACUGAGACACGGUCCAGACUCCUACGGGAGGCGAGCGAGGGUAGGGGGUAAUUCUUGCGACAAGUGGGACGAAACGCCGUGACGCAGCGACCGCCGCGUGAGUGAUAGGAACGG